This 71-nucleotide transfer RNA is filed under the name Loxodonta africana (African savanna elephant). It matches the Rfam family "tRNA". Rfam says of the family: Transfer RNA (tRNA) molecules are approximately 80 nucleotides in length. The record is from Rfam by way of RNAcentral. Lineage: Eukaryota; Metazoa; Chordata; Mammalia; Proboscidea; Elephantidae.
GCAGUGGUGGUUCAGUGGCAGAAUUCUCACCUUCCACGCAGAAGGCCUGAGUUCAAUUCCCAGCCAAAGCA